Molecule: non-coding RNA, 100 nt
Organism: Collybia nuda
Lineage: Eukaryota; Fungi; Basidiomycota; Agaricomycetes; Agaricales; Clitocybaceae
Source: the annotation of a GenBank genome assembly
UCCUCGAUGGUGUAGUGGUUUUAACACGUGUCAAUGCCAAUGAACGCCUACGUUGGCCUUCAUUAUUGACAGAUCCUGGGAUCGACCCCCAGGCGAGGAU